GUCGGCCCCCGCGACGGUCAGCCGUGAACUCCGCCAGGCCCGGAAGGGAGCAACGGUAGCGGUGCGACCGGGCGCCGGGACCGUCGGC
RNAcentral lists this signal recognition particle RNA (88 nucleotides) under Banduia mediterranea. RNAcentral describes it as "signal recognition particle sRNA small type". It matches the Rfam family "Bacterial small signal recognition particle RNA". Rfam says of the family: The signal recognition particle (SRP) is a universally conserved ribonucleoprotein involved in the co-translational targeting of proteins to membranes. Archaeal SRP consists of a 7S RNA and homologues of the eukaryotic SRP19 and SRP54 proteins. In most bacteria, the SRP consists of a 4.5S RNA and the Ffh protein (a homologue of the eukaryotic SRP54 protein). The record is from RNAcentral. Lineage: Bacteria; Pseudomonadati; Pseudomonadota; Gammaproteobacteria; Nevskiales; Algiphilaceae.